UACCCGCCCAACGGAUCGGCCCCGAAAAUUGAUGGCGCUCGAACGCAACCCUCGAACCCCGCCGACGGAGGCUAGGGGAGGCCCCGUCGAGUAGGCGGACGCGCGGGUCGCUUCGACGCUCCCGCGCGAGCGGGGGCGGAGCGGCCCGUGGUGCAGAUCUUGGUGGUAGUAGCGAUCACCCAGGCGAGAACCCUGAGGGCCGAAGUGGAGAAGGGUUUCUCGAGAACGGCACUCGCUCGAGAGUUAGUCGAUCCUAAGCUGCCGGCGGCAGCCACGAAACGGUCGAUCGGGCGCGAGCCCGGCAGCCACGACCGGGCAGCGAAAGGGAAUUGGGAACCUCCUUCCCAAACCCGGAACCGGAACGAGGGCGGCGACGCGAACGAAACGGCCGCGGAUUUUCAUGGGACGACCGCGG
Molecule: ribosomal RNA, 415 nt
Filed under: uncultured eukaryote
Lineage: Eukaryota
Description: eukaryotic LSU rRNA
Rfam family: Eukaryotic large subunit ribosomal RNA
Source: RNAcentral